UCCAGACUCCUACGGGAGGCAGCAGUGAGGAAUAUUGGUCAAUGGGCGCGAGCCUGAACCAGCCAAGUAGCGUGAAGGAUGACUGCCCUACGGGUUGUAAACUUCUUUUAUAAAGGAAUAAAGUGAGGCACGUGUGCCUUUUUGUAUGUAUUUUAUGAAUAAGGAUCGGCUAACUCCGUGCCAGCAGCCGCGGUAAUACGGAGGAUCCGAGCGUUAUCCGGAUUUAUUGGGUUUAAAGGGUGCGUAGGCGGGCUUUUAGGUCAGCGGUCAAAUGUGGGGGCUCACCCCCGGCCUGCCGUUGAAACUGGCGGCCUCGAGUGGGCGAGAAGUAUGCGGAAUGCGUGGUGUAGCGGUGAAAUGCAUAGAUAUCGCGCAGAACUCCGAUUGCGAAGGCAGCAUGCCGGCUCCACACUGACGCUGAGGCACGAAAGCGUGGGUAUCGAACAGGAUUAGAUACCCUGGUA
RNAcentral lists this ribosomal RNA (464 nucleotides) under uncultured bacterium. RNAcentral's name for it is "bacterial SSU rRNA". It matches the Rfam family "Bacterial small subunit ribosomal RNA", at positions 330 to 792 of the family's 1533-position model. The record is from RNAcentral.